GCAUCUACACAUGCAGUCGACGAUGAAGCCCUUCGGGGUGGAUUAGUGGCGAACGGGUGAGUAACACGUGGGCAAUCUGCCCUUCACUCUGGGACAAGCCCUGGAAACGGGGUCUAAUACCGGAUAACACUCUGUCCCGCAUGGGACGGGGUUAAAAGCUCCGGCGGUGAAGGAUGAGCCCGCGGCCUAUCAGCUUGUUGGUGGGGUGAUGGCCUACCAAGGCGACGACGGGUAGCCGGCCUGAGAGGGCGACCGGCCACACUGGGACUGAGACACGGCCCAGACUCCUACGGGAGGCAGCAGUGGGGAAUAUUGCACAAUGGGCGAAAGCCUGAUGCAGCGACGCCGCGUGAGGGAUGACGGCCUUCGGGUUGUAAACCUCUUUCAGCAGGGAAGAAGC
This 400-nucleotide ribosomal RNA is filed under the name Streptomyces atratus. Its description in RNAcentral is "bacterial SSU rRNA". It matches the Rfam family "Bacterial small subunit ribosomal RNA", at positions 46 to 451 of the family's 1533-position model. The record is from RNAcentral. Lineage: Bacteria; Bacillati; Actinomycetota; Actinomycetes; Kitasatosporales; Streptomycetaceae.